GACGAACGCUGGCGGCGUGCUUAACACAUGCAAGUCGAACGGAAAGGCUCCAGCUUGCUGGAGUACUCGAGUGGCGAACGGGUGAGUAACACGUGGGUAAUCUGCCCUGCACUCUGGGAUAAGCCUGGGAAACUGGGUCUAAUACUGGAUAUGACCUUUCUCCUUAUGGGGUUUGGUGGAAAGUUUUUCGGUGUAGGAUGAGCCCGCGGCCUAUCAGCUUGUUGGUGGGGUGAUGGCCUACCAAGGCGACGACGGGUAGCCGGCCUGAGAGGGUGAUCGGCCACAUUGGGACUGAGAUACGGCCCAGACUCCUACGGGAGGCAGCAGUGGGGAAUAUUGCACAAUGGGCGGAAGCCUGAUGCAGCGACGCCGCGUGAGGGAUGACGGCCUUCGGGUUGUAAACCUCUUUCAGCAGGGACGAAGUGUAAGUGACGGUACCUGCAGAAGAAGCACCGGCUAACUAUGUG
RNAcentral lists this ribosomal RNA (467 nucleotides) under uncultured bacterium. Its description in RNAcentral is "partial 16S ribosomal RNA". It matches the Rfam family "Bacterial small subunit ribosomal RNA", at positions 28 to 507 of the family's 1533-position model. The record is from RNAcentral.